GACGAACGCUGGCGGCGUGCUUAACACAUGCAAGUCGAACGGUAAGGCCCCUUUGGGGUUGCUCGGUUGGCAAACGGGGCGGUAACGCGUGAAUAACCUGCGCUUCCUUUCCGCUUAUCUUCGGGAACCUCGGGCUAGUACGGCAUAGAAAUCCUUUCUGCGUGGUGUGGGUUGGAAGGCUUCGGCGGUUUUGGGUGGACUCGUGGCAUGUCAGCGUGUUGUUUGGGUAGUGGCGUACCGUGGCUGUGACGGGUAGCGGGGCUGAGAGGGCGACCGGACACAGUGGGACUGAGAUACGGACCAGACUCCUGCGGGAGGCAGCAGUGGGGAAUAAUGCACAAUGGGCGGAAGCCUGAUGCAGCAACGCCGCGUGGGGGAGGACGGCCCUCGGGUUGUAAACCGCUUUCAGCAGGGGCGAAGCGUGUGGUGACGGUACCUGCAGAAGAAGCACCGGCUAACUACGUG
This 465-nucleotide ribosomal RNA is filed under the name uncultured bacterium. Its description in RNAcentral is "partial 16S ribosomal RNA". It matches the Rfam family "Bacterial small subunit ribosomal RNA", at positions 28 to 507 of the family's 1533-position model. The record is from RNAcentral.